RNAcentral lists this ribosomal RNA (520 nucleotides) under uncultured bacterium. RNAcentral's name for it is "bacterial SSU rRNA". It matches the Rfam family "Bacterial small subunit ribosomal RNA", at positions 8 to 518 of the family's 1533-position model. The record is from RNAcentral.
AGAGUUUGAUCCUGGCUCAGGAUGAACGCUAGCGACAGGCCUAACACAUGCAAGUCGAGGGGCAUCAUGAUCUGUAGCAAUACGGGUUGAUGGCGACCGGCGCACGGGUGAGUAACGCGUAUGUAAUCUACCUGUAACAGUGAGAUAACCCGGAGAAAUCCGGCCUAAUAUCGCAUGACACAUAGACUUCGCAUGAAGACUAUGUUAAAGAAAUUCGGUUACAGAUGAACAUGCGUUCCAUUAGCUAGUUGGCGGGGUAACGGCCCACCAAGGCGACGAUGGAUAGGGGUUCUGAGAGGAAGGUCCCCCACACUGGUACUGAGACACGGACCAGACUCCUACGGGAGGCAGCAGUGAGGAAUAUUGGUCAAUGGGCGAAAGCCUGAACCAGCCAAGUCGCGUGGAGGAAGACAGCCCUAUGGGUUGUAAACUCCUUUUACCUGGGAAUAACAGGCGCUACGCGUAGCGCUAUGCAUGUACCAGGAGAAUAAGCAUCGGCUAAUUCCGUGCCAGCAGCCGC